AGCGAACGUUUGCGGCGGGCCUAACACAUGCAAGUCGAACGAGAAUCUCUUCGGAGAGGAAAGUGGCGCACGGGUGCGUAACACGUGGAUAACCAACCCCUGCUUGUCGGGAUAACGCUGGGAAACCGGCGCUAAUACCGGGUGUGUCCGAGGUGUCAUCAGGCGCUUCGGAGAAAGACACGCAAGGGUCGCCAGGGGACGGGUCCGCGUCCCAUCAGCUAGUUGGUGAGGUAAUGGCUCACCAAGGCAAAGACGGGUAGCUGGUCUGAGAGGAUGAUCAGCCACACUGGAACUGAAACACGGUCCAGACUCCUACGGGAGGCAGCAGUGGGGAAUAUUGCGCAAUGGGCGGAAGCCUGACGCAGCCACGCCGCGUGAGCGAUGAAGGUCUUAGGAUCGUAAAGCUCUGUGGAGGGAGAAGAAGAAAGCCGGUGAAGAGCCGGCCUUGACGGUAUCCCUUUAGCAAGCACCGGCUAACUCCGUGCCAGCAGCCGCGGUAAUACGGAGGGUGCAAACGUUGCUCGGAAUCAUUGGGCGUAAAGCGCGCGUAGGCGGCGAGGCAAGUUGGAUGUGAAAGCCCUGGGCUCAACCCAGGAAGUGCAUCCAAAAUCUGCCUUGCUUGAAUCUCGGAGGGGGCUCAGGGAAUUCCCGGU
Molecule: ribosomal RNA, 653 nt
Filed under: uncultured bacterium
Lineage: Bacteria
Description: bacterial SSU rRNA
Rfam family: Bacterial small subunit ribosomal RNA
Source: RNAcentral